UCUCUUUAAGACGUUUCGUGGCACUGCCCAAAAUGUGCAAGCAGACUAUCAACCACGCCGUCCCCAGGAUAAAACAGCCCAGAUCUCUGUUAUCGAAUUCUUACUGCAAUGUAAGAACCAAUCUCGAAUACACCCACCACAAUAUGACUACCAAUGCCAAUUCUCGAAAUUACACAUAAUAUGACUACCCGUGCCAAUUCUCUUCCCACAAUACUAACUACCAGUGUCAGUUCUCGAAAUCCCACAAUAUGGUAACCCCUGCCAAUUCUUUACCUACAAUACUGACUACCAGUGUCAGUUCUCGAAAUCUCACUUUGGCUGCAUGUGCCAAUUCUUAAGUGUCACGGAAAGAAAGAGGGAGAAGUUUGCCGGAAAUGCAUCGGCGGAAUAUUAGGGGGGAGAAAGAAAA
This 409-nucleotide long non-coding RNA is filed under the name Lupinus angustifolius (narrow-leaved blue lupine). RNAcentral describes it as "long non-coding RNA (LANG_LNC003106)". Lineage: Eukaryota; Viridiplantae; Streptophyta; Magnoliopsida; Fabales; Fabaceae. The record is from RNAcentral.